GAUGAACGCUGGCGGCGUGCCUAACACAUGCAAGUCGAGCGUGAUUAAGUGGAGUGAGGACUUCGGUCUGAGUGAAACUUAUGAAAAGCGGCGGACGGGUGAGUAACGCGUGGGCAACCUGCCCCAUACAAGGGAUAGCCAUUGGAAACGGUGAUUAAUACCUUAUAAGUCGGUAGUCUCGCAUGAGAUAGCCGACAAAGAUUUAUCGGUAUGGGAUGGGCCCGCGUCUGAUUAGCUAGUUGGUGAGGUAACGGCUCACCAAGGCGACGAUCAGUAGCCGACCUGAGAGGGUGAUCGGCCACACUGGAACUGAGACACGGUCCAGACUCCUACGGGAGGCAGCAGUGGGGAAUAUUGCACAAUGGGCGCAAGCCUGAUGCAGCAACGCCGCGUGAGUGAAGAAGGCCUUCGGGUUGUAAAACUCUGUCCUAUGGGAAGAAACAAAUGACGGUACCAUGGGAGGAAGCCCCGGCUAACUACGUG
This 483-nucleotide ribosomal RNA is filed under the name uncultured bacterium. Its description in RNAcentral is "bacterial SSU rRNA". It matches the Rfam family "Bacterial small subunit ribosomal RNA", at positions 28 to 507 of the family's 1533-position model. The record is from RNAcentral.